Molecule: ribosomal RNA, 253 nt
Filed under: uncultured bacterium
Lineage: Bacteria
Description: partial 16S ribosomal RNA
Rfam family: Bacterial small subunit ribosomal RNA
Source: RNAcentral
UACGGAGGGUGCAAGCAUUGAUCGGAAUUACUGGGCGUAAAGGGCGCGUAGGCGGCCGCAUAAGUCAGAUGUGAAAUUCCGGGGCUCAACCCCGGAGCUGCAUUUGAAACUGCGCGGCUAGAGUGUAGUUAGGGUAAACGGAAUUCCACGUGUAGCGGUGAAAUGCGUAGAUAUGUGGAAGAACACCGGUGGUGAAGACGGUUUACUGGGCUAUAACUGACGCUGAGGCGCGAAAGCAUGGGGAGCAAACAGG